RNAcentral lists this unclassified non-coding RNA (259 nucleotides) under Ascomycota sp. Its description in RNAcentral is "partial contains small subunit ribosomal RNA, internal transcribed spacer 1, and 5.8S ribosomal RNA". The stretch from base 1 to 47 matches the Rfam family "Eukaryotic small subunit ribosomal RNA", at positions 1785 to 1831 of the family's 1831-position model. The record is from RNAcentral. Lineage: Eukaryota; Fungi; Ascomycota.
AAAGUCGUAACAAGGUUUCCGUAGGUGAACCUGCGGAAGGAUCAUUACCGAGAUGUGUUUUACACGCUCCACCCUAUGUUUAUGACCUGUUGCCUCGGUGGGACUCGGAUCGUCGAGCAAGACGGGAUGAUGCGUCUUCCUCUCAUAUUUUUAGGAGAGGAAGGGGUUUGCCUGCCGAGCCUUUAACUCUUUUUGAAUUGCAGUCUGAGAAAGAAAAACAAAUCAAUCAAAACUUUCAACAACGGAUCUCUUGGUUCUG